UACGUAGGGUGCAAGCGUUAUCCGGAAUUAUUGGGCGUAAAGAGCUCGUAGGCGGUUUGUCGCGUCUGCUGUGAAAACCCGAGGCUCAACCUCGGGCCUGCAGUGGGUACGGGCAGACUAGAGUGCGGUAGGGGAGAUUGGAAUUCCUGGUGUAGCGGUGGAAUGCGCAGAUAUCAGGAGGAACACCGAUGGCGAAGGCAGAUCUCUGGGCCGUAACUGACGCUGAGGAGCGGAAGCGUGGGGAGCGAACAGG
Molecule: ribosomal RNA, 253 nt
Filed under: uncultured bacterium
Lineage: Bacteria
Description: partial 16S ribosomal RNA
Rfam family: Bacterial small subunit ribosomal RNA
Source: RNAcentral